RNAcentral lists this ribosomal RNA (433 nucleotides) under uncultured bacterium. RNAcentral's name for it is "partial 16S ribosomal RNA". It matches the Rfam family "Bacterial small subunit ribosomal RNA", at positions 29 to 507 of the family's 1533-position model. The record is from RNAcentral.
AGCGAACGCUGGCGGCAGGCCUAACACAUGCAAGUCGAACGAACUCUUCGGAGUUAGUGGCGGACGGGUGAGUAACACGUGGGAACGUGCCUUUAGGUUCGGAAUAACUCAGGGAAAAUUGUGCUAAUACCGAAUGUGCCCUUCGGAGGAAAGAUUUAUCGCCUUUAGAGCGGCCGGCGUCUGAUUAGCUAGUUGGUGAGGUAAAGGCUCACCAAGGCGACGAUCAGUAGCUGGUCUGAGAGGAUGAUCAGCCACAUUGGGACUGAGACACGACCCAAACUCCUACGGGAGGCAGCAGUGGGGAAUCUUGCGCAAUGGGCGAAAGCCUGACGCAGCCAUGCCGCGUGAAUGAUGAAGGUCUUAGGAUUGUAAAAUUCUUUCACCGGGGACGAUAAUGACGGUACCCGGAGAAGAAGCCCCGGCUAACUUCGUG